AUACUUACCUGGACGGGGUCUACGAGCGAUCAAGAACGCUUAUGACCUAGGUUAACAGCCUCCAUUGCACUUGAAAGGAGCGCUAGCUUACCGUCUCCUCUAAGGAGCGACGUCACAAUUUGUGGCUGAGAGUUAUGUGUUCGUGCGGCCUCUAU
RNAcentral lists this small nuclear RNA (155 nucleotides) under Dichanthelium oligosanthes. RNAcentral's name for it is "U1 spliceosomal RNA". It matches the Rfam family "U1 spliceosomal RNA". From Rfam's summary of the family: U1 is a small nuclear RNA (snRNA) component of the spliceosome (involved in pre-mRNA splicing). Its 5' end forms complementary base pairs with the 5' splice junction, thus defining the 5' donor site of an intron. There are significant differences in sequence and secondary structure between metazoan and yeast U1 snRNAs, the latter being much longer (568 nucleotides as compared to 164 nucleotides in human). The record is from Rfam by way of RNAcentral. Lineage: Eukaryota; Viridiplantae; Streptophyta; Magnoliopsida; Poales; Poaceae.